Molecule: ribosomal RNA, 602 nt
Filed under: uncultured haloarchaeon
Lineage: Archaea; Methanobacteriati; Methanobacteriota; Halobacteria; Halobacteriales; Halobacteriaceae
Description: bacterial SSU rRNA
Rfam family: Archaeal small subunit ribosomal RNA
Source: RNAcentral
UUCCGGUUGAUCCUGCCGGAGGCCAUUGCUAUCGGAGUCCGAUUUAGCCAUGCUAGUUGUGCGGGUUUAGACCCGCAGCGGAAAGCUCAGUAACACGUGGCCAAGCUACCCUGUGGACGGGAAUACUCUCGGGAAACUGAGGCUAAUCCCCGAUAACGCUUUGCUCCUGGAAGGGGCAAAGCCGGAAACGCUCCGGCGCCACAGGAUGCGGCUGCGGUCGAUUAGGUAGACGGUGGGGUAACGGCCCACCGUGCCCAUAAUCGGUACGGGUUGUGAGAGCAAGAGCCCGGAGACGGAAUCUGAGACAAGAUUCCGGGCCCUACGGGGCGCAGCAGGCGCGAAACCUUUACACUGUACGAAAGUGCGAUAAGGGGACUCCGAGUGUGAAGGCAUAGAGCCUUCACUUUUGUACACCGUAAGGUGGUGCACGAAUAAGGACUGGGCAAGACCGGUGCCAGCCGCCGCGGUAAUACCGGCAGUCCGAGUGAUGGCCGAUCUUAUUGGGCCUAAAGCGUCCGUAGCUGGCUGAACAAGUCCGUUGGGAAAUCUGUCCGCUUAACGGGCAGGCGUCCAGCGGAAACUGUUCAGCUUGGGACCGGAAG